GAUGAACGCUGGCGGCGUGCUUAACACAUGCAAGUCGAACGGAAAGGCCCUUGCUUGCAGGGGUACUCGAGUGGCGAACGGGUGAGUAACACGUGGGUGAUCUGCCCUGCACUUCGGGAUAAGCCUGGGAAACUGGGUCUAAUACCGGAUAGGACCAUCGUUUAGUGGCGGUGGGGGAAAGUUUUUUCGGUGUGGGAUGAGCUCGCGGCCUAUCAGCUUGUUGGUGGGGUAAUGGCCUACCAAGGCGUCGACGGGUAGCCGGCCUGAGAGGGUGUACGGCCACAUUGGGACUGAGAUACGGCCCAGACUCCUACGGGAGGCAGCAGUGGGGAAUAUUGCACAAUGGGCGCAAGCCUGAUGCAGCGACGCCGCGUGGGGGAUGACGGCCUUCGGGUUGUAAACUCCUUUCGUCAGGGACGAAGCGAAAGUGACGGUACCUGGAUAAGAAGCACCGGCUAACUACGUG
This 466-nucleotide ribosomal RNA is filed under the name uncultured bacterium. RNAcentral's name for it is "partial 16S ribosomal RNA". It matches the Rfam family "Bacterial small subunit ribosomal RNA", at positions 28 to 507 of the family's 1533-position model. The record is from RNAcentral.